This 371-nucleotide ribosomal RNA is filed under the name uncultured organism. Its description in RNAcentral is "bacterial SSU rRNA". It matches the Rfam family "Bacterial small subunit ribosomal RNA", at positions 526 to 896 of the family's 1533-position model. The record is from RNAcentral.
CGUAGGGUGCAAGCGUUAAUCGGAAUUACUGGGCGUAAAGCGUGCGCAGGCGGUUUUUGUAAGUCUGUCGUGAAAUCCCCGGGCUCAACCUGGGAAUUGCGAUGGAGACUGCAAGGCUAGAAUCUGGCAGAGGGGGGUAGAAUUCCACGUGUAGCAGUGAAAUGCGUAGAGAUGUGGAGGAACACCGAUGGCGAAGGCAGCCCCCUGGGUCAAGAUUGACGCUCAUGCACGAAAGCGUGGGGAGCAAACAGGAUUAGAUACCCUGGUAGUCCACGCCCUAAACGAUGUCUACUAGUUGUCGGGUUUUAAUUAACUUGGUAACGCAGCUAACGCGUGAAGUAGACCGCCUGGGGAGUACGGUCGCAAGAUUA